GCCUGCGCCUCUCCACCUCGCGCCUCUCCUCAGUUCCCAGCGCCUCCCUCCCCCUUCACUUUCUUGAUCUCUGCGUCACUUUCUCUUCAGGGACCUAAAAGGAUUCAGCUGCUGCUCGUUCCAGCCAUUAGAUAGCUCCCCCACCCGACUCGGCCGGCCGGCCACUUCUCCUUUCCUGCCUGCAGUCCCGAUCCAGACCUGUUGCGUUUGCUGCCCACCUGGCUCCUGGCUGCUUCGUUCUGCCUGCCUGUUUCUCUGCUGCUGCUCCUGACCUCUCUCUCGCUCAUCUAGCCCCCCUGAUUCAACCAAGAUUGCAAUCACCUGGUGACAUGCCUGCCCAACAAACCCAGAUCCUCGGAGCAGAUCAACCAGCUGGUAACAGGGGAUUAGGCUCCACGUGGGCGGAGUGGAUCGGAGGAGGGGAAGAGACUAGAGGAGAAGAAACAUAUUUUUCAAGCAGAAACUUAAAAAGCAAUGGGCUAUUUAAAAGGAUACCUUUAGACUGUUCUGGUAAUUUCAUUGAUUUCACCUGUGUGCCAGAAGAAAGAUUCAGCCCAAAGAUUCAACUUUGAAUUUGCAAAUGGGUGGCUCAGGGAACUGAGAGCCAGGCCUACAGACAUGCGGUCCUGGGUUAAAAUCUGGCCUCAGAUACUUCCCAGCUGUGGGUCCCUGAGCAGAUCCAAUAACCCCCAUUGCCUAGCCCUUACUACUCUGCCUUUGGACAAAAGACAUUUAAAUGGAUAAUUAAUUAAAAACACACACACACACACACACACACACCUAAGGAACUUUAAAGACUGGAGGUUAUGAUUUUAAGGCAUUUCAGACUCCAAUGGUUUAUAAAAAAUCUCUGCAUUCUAUUGUAUUUUUCCUUAUUGUUUUGUUUAAGAUAUAACUUUGUGAUUUUAAGUUCAUAUAUUACUGGAUUCAAUAUUAUUCUGUUACACUGUUCAUUUAAUGUACUGAGUUUUAAAAAUUCUGUUGUUUUUCCCCUAUAACUGUGCUGAACAAAUAUUAUUGUAAUUAAGCCCAUAUUUUAAAAAAAACAGCCUUUCUAUUUUGAGUUUGUAAAUUGUCACAUAGAGGAUAAAUGGACUUCAGGACUGGUUAUAAUUGUAUAACAACCUUUGGAAAAUUUAAUGUGCUAAAUAUCUCAAAUGAUUUUAAGGGUUUUUAAAAUAUGAUUUUUGUAAUUUUUUUAACAAUCUCUGGUUAUUUUGCCUUCCCCUACCACGAGGUAAGGUCUAUAGCUGAAGUUAAAUAUAUUUUAUAAACCCCAACCUUCCCACAUGUGAAUGGAAGUUGGGAAGUUAAUAUCAGGGUAUUUGUAUCCCUAAAAAGCCUCCAAAAAAGGAGCACCCCUUUAUUUAUACUCUUCAGCUCACUAUUUUACUUCCACCAGAAUGAUAUAUAGAUUUCUUGAUUAUGUUCUUAACCCAAGAUGAGUUUUACUUUGUUUAAAAUAUGUUUAUUACCAGGUUGAAAGAUUUGCUAUGUUUGUAAAACUUGUGACAAAUGUCCAUCAAUUCAUAAGUUUUUAAAAUGCCAUACAGCAACUUAUGUGAAAUAUGAUAGUGUGUUUCUUUGCUAUUGUAAUUAAUUGGGCUAUUGAGAAUUUUGGGGAUAUUGAUACUACAUAUUUGUACUACUAUUCUUUAAAAAUGAAAAAUAUACCUUGCUCAAUUCAUUUGCCUCAUACCUACAGUGGAGCAUGGCUAGACAUGAAGAGGAAAUGGAUCUCAGUUUUGGUGAGAAAGCCUUGUAUUUUAUAUUUUCUUAGAAUACAAGUUUAAGAUACAUUUGCUAAUGCAUGCCCUAAAAAGCUUGUGACUAUAAAAAUGAUGCCACUAAUUAUUUAAAACUUUAUGGGACUUUGCUUAAUGAUCCUGUCUGAUUCCAGGACAAGAUAUACACACAAGAGCCAUUGCACAGGGCCAAAGAAAAGCAAAUCCAGGAUGGAUUGAUGCACUUCUAGGCCAAUACAAAGGUCUUGAACCUAGUGUGAAGACUCGAGGUUACUGUGUUUAACAUUGUUAGACAUAGGCUUUCCUUGUGUCCACACUCACUCUGAACAUACUCACAGACGAGUAUCCCCAAAACCUUGGCUCCUAUAAUCUGGUCCCCUUUUCUGUCUUUCAUAGUGUGGUACCUUUCUGUAGUCCUGGCUAUUGACUGGGUAAAUGCAUCAUUGCUUAGAUCAUUUUGAUUGGGCCCUGAUUGAAGGACCUGUUAUAGAUUUAUUUUUUACACAUAAGACUUUGAUAGUCUAUAUUUUCAUCCAGAAAUUUUUCUUUCUUUAUUUGGAUUUUUCUGAUAUCUUUUUAAUAUCUCUUGCCAAUUGAUUCAUAUACCUCAUACCUCAGCCAUGCAUCCCUAAGUAAUUCUGUUUUUUUUUUUUUAAUCACCCUCUUAAUGGGGGGAAUGUAAAAAAAAUAGCAUUAUUUAAAUUGCAAAGUUUAAAUUCCUUUUGAGAAAAAUUUUGGGUAAAAAAGAAGCUACCUCUCUGAAUCCAGAACUGAACUGUUGGAGAAGAUACCAUGAAGAAGCCUCCAGACCAGCCAGCUGCACAAAAAUUGAACUUUGGGUGUAGUUGAUUGAACAUUUAUUUGUAUGUAUACUUUCAUGCCAAAGGAGACUGCCCCCUAACUGGCUUUUUGGCAAUGCGUUCAGCAAUUAUUGGUUUUGUUUUUUUUCUUCAAAACACAUGCAACGCUCAUUCCACCAGCACCUGGUGCUCUGCAUGAAUGUUAUCCCCAGUAGGCCAGCGAUGUUUGCUGUUAUUAUAGCCGCCUCCACCACUUCCUCCUCCCCCAAGCUGCUCACCAUGCUGCCUCUGAAAGAAGUAAUCCACCAUGGCGUCGUCCUGGGAGCGGCCUGCAACCCCUAUGGAUCCUGGGACCGGGCUUGAGUGAGUCCCUGCUGUAAGCGCCGCUGUUGCUGUGCCUGGGACCCUGCUGUUCUAGAUGUCAAAACAACAGGCAUGUUGGGAUUAGCUGUUUCUUGCAUGUGCUGUUUCAGGUGGGGGCUGAAGGAGUCCUGCCAGAGCACUGCUAAAAUUAAAACAGUUGUGUUCUAUCUAAUUUAAGGAGAGAGAAGAAAAAAAUUGAACUUACCUCUACAGCUGAUCAAAAUAAGCUAUUAAAAGCUGAUUUCGGGAUAGUCACAAUAAAGAAGAAGUAUAGGAAAGUUAAGAAGAUUGAGAGUAUUUCAUCACAACCGAUGUGGUCGGCCAAAAAUAUUAAAAAUUUAAUUGUGGUUGGACUCUGAGAAGGAAGAUAUUAAGAGAGAAAGAGAGAGAGACAGAGACACAGAGAGAGAGACAGACAGAGACAGAGAGAGAGUCAGACAGAGACAGAGAGAGACAGAGACAGAGAGAGAGACAGAGAGAGAGACAGACAGAGACAGAGAGAGAGACAGAGACAGAGAGAGAGACAGACAGAGACAGAGACAGAGAGACAGAGACAGACAGACAGACAGACAGAGAAAGAGAGACAGAGAGAGAGAGAGACUUCACAUCUCCAGAAAGGCGGGGUCACUAAAUCAGUCUUUCACUCACCAACAGUGAUCACCUAAAGGGAAAUAAGUCUGAGGUCUCCUGCACAGGUUCCUCCAGGGGUCCAGUUCCUCCAGUCCAACUCUGAGUCAGAGAUCUCCUCCAUCCAAAUGUCUUCUUCUGGCCUCUGGUCCUCCUUUUAAAGAUCUUUUUCUCUUGUGUCAUCUCCCCUAAAUUUCACAUAUAACAAUCACAAUAGACAUUUUUCCCCAGGACUGCCCACUCUUUAGUUCACACCUUUGGUUAGAUUAUACCUUUUGUGUUACCACCUUUUUUGGUUAGUUCACCUUUUGUAGUUACUUAACACCUUUUUAUAGUUAAAAUGGGUAGAUCUACUUAAAAUAUUGAGUUACCACCUUUUUGGGGAUUAAGAUCUAAAAUUCGAUUGUGGAUUACAAUGCAAUUUUUCCAAUAAAGGAAGAGCUAAGAACCUUCAUUGGUACAAUCAGGAGAUUACAAUUUAAUCUUCACAAUAAAGGAAGAGCUAAAUAUUUUCAUUGUUACAGAGGAUUACAACUUAAUCUUCACACUAAUAUUUUCCAAACAUAUAAUAUCAUCAAUAAAUAGGGAUAGUUUUAGCCCUUUACCUAUCUUUAUACCUUUAAUUCCUUUCUCCUGUUUUAGUGUUGCUACUUGCAUUUCCAGAUUAUAUUAGAUAAUAGUGGGAAAGAGUGGGCAUCCUUGCUUUAUCCCUGAAUUUGUUGGGAAAGAUUCUAGAAUAUCUCCAUGGCAUAUGAUACUUGCUUUUGGUUUUAGAUAGAUGCUUUUUAUAAUAUUAAAAUAGUUCCCUCUAUAACUAUUCUUUGCAAUAUUAUUAGCUUAAGAGUGUCCUGGACUUUAUCAAAGGCUUAUUCUGCAUCUGCUGACAUGAUUAUGUGGUUUUGGAUCUUUGGGUUUUAUUUACUUAUUUUUUAAAACCCCUAUCUUCCAUCUUAGAUUCAGUACUGUGUAUUGCUUCCAAAGCAGAAGAGUGGUUAGGGUUAGGCAAUGUGGGCUAAGAUCAGACAGCUUGGAAGUGACUAAGUCCAGUUUUGAAGCCAGAACCUCCCUUGUCUAGGCCUGGUUCUCAAUCCACUGAGCCACCUAGCUGCCCCCAAUCUUUUAGUUUUUAAUAUGAUUUACCACAUUAUUACUAUUCCUAAUGUUGAUCUAUCCUUGCAUCCCUUGUAUAAAUAGAAUUUGGUCAUAAUGAAUAAUUUUUUAAAUAAAUCUCUGUAGGCUUUUUGACUGGAUUUUGUUUAAAAUGUUAAAAGUCAAUAUUCCUUAAUGAUAUUGGCCUACAGUUUUCCUUCUGUAUCCUGCUUUAGAUUUUAUAACUAUGUUUGUCUCAUAAAAGGAUUCUGACAGGGUACUUUCUCAAUUUUUAAAAUUAACUUGUGCAAUACAGCUUUUAAUUAUUUGUUUGUUUAAUUUGUUUAAUUUUUUUAAAAGUCUGAUAGAAUUCUUUUGUGAAUUAAUCAGGACCAGGAAUUUUGUUUUUAGUUUUUUCCUUUAGUAGUUUCUUUUUAACUAGUUCUAUUUCUUUUUCUAAGACUGAAUAUUUAAGAUCUCUAUCUGGUUUUCUCAUAGUUUGAGUAUUUCAUAUUUUUAAAUAUACUCCUUCAUUUUACAUACUCAAUUUUUCAAGCACUUAACUUUAUAAUAUAUUCUGAUUAUCCUUUUUAUUUCUUCAAGUUCUGUUGUGAUUUCACCUUGCUCUUUUGCUAAUUUAUUUGAUUUUCUGCCCUUGUCUUUCUAACUAGAAUAGCUAAUCAGUAUUAUUAGUUUUAUUGCCCCCAAAGAAUCAGCAUUUGGUUGUAAUUUUCAUGUACAUAUUCUUUAGUUACCAGUUUUUUUCUCUCUUAAUUCUUGAUGUCUCCUCUUAUGCACUUAUUUUAGGUUUGUUUAUUUAUUUGUUUCUAAUUUUAUUCAGUUCAUUAAUCCUCUCUUUUGCUAUUCUGCUAAUGUCCGUUUUUAGGGCUAUGAUUUUUCCCUGAGAACUGGUUUAGCUGCAUCCAAGAUAUUUUUGGUAUGUUGUUUCAUCAUUAUUAUUUUCUUUCAUAUAAUUAUUAAUUGUUUCUAUGAUUUGUUCUUUGACCUAUUCUUUAUUUAGGAUUUCUUUGUAAAAGCUCAAUUGGGUAUGUGUCCUUUAUUUAUUGAGUUAUGAUCUAUAAAGGACAUAUUUACUAUUUCUGUCAUUUUACAUUUGUUUGCAAUAUAUGUUUCAUAACAAAUGGUCAGUUUUUUGUAAAAGUUCCAUGUCAUUCUGAGAAAUGCACCAAUUCUUUUGCCUUCCAAUUUGAAGAUACCAUAUGUUGUUUAACUCUAGUUUCUCCAGAAAUUUAUUCGCUUCCAUAUUUUCUCUUUUGUUUAUCUUUCUGUUAAUAAAAUUGAGAGAGACCUCUGAAGUCUCCUGUCACUAUUAUGUUAUUGUCUCUAUUUUCUUGUAGCUCAGUUAACAUUUAUUUUAAGAAUGUGGAUGCUAAGGCAUUUGGAGUACAUAUAUCUCUUACAGAUAUUGGUUUGUUUUCUCUAUGGCUCUUUUCAACAUAAUGCAUUUUUCUUAUUUAUCCUUUUUUUAAAUUUUUCAAAUGUUUUUAUUUUGUUAGAAUUGUUGUUACUGGAGACAGUUGGGUGGCUCAGUGGAUUGAGAGCCAGGCCUAGAGACAGGAGUUCUUAGGUUCAAACCUGGCCUCAGACACUUCCUAACUGUUUGACCCUGGGCAAGUCACUUUGAAGGUAACACAAGCACUGACAAAUCCUGAGAUCAAAGAUGUGAUCACGCUAUUCCUCAUGGCAAUGGCCAAGGGUCAGUAAAACAAAAUAUCUUUGUAAAAGCAAUUUUCUUGUUGUGACCAUAUCAGAAACUCACAGGGUUAAUAAGUAAUGAAACCUUCAAUAAAAAGAAAUGAUUCGGGGGUUAAUCCUAAAUUCUUGAGUUUGGCUUAAUUUGACUUUCUCAAAAGGGACCCAUUCUGGCUCUCCUAAUCAACAUUGCCAGGGCCUUGUAAAAUUAACAUAUCAUAUGGCCUUUACCUCUGAGAAGGGAAGCUAGAGAUAAGAUACCUUACUUGGAGCUUACCAAGGUUCCUAUAAAGUCAGUUUCCAAGAAUUGUCUCUAUCACCUCUUACAUAUUCAUAUAGUCAUAAGAAAAUGGGUAUCCACCCUGUAAAAAAGAGAAUUUUGGCUAAUCUUUGUUAACACAAGACUUGUACCUUUAAUAUGACCUAUUGUAAUGUUUAUCCCCGAUAGCAGUGAGAGAUAAUGGAUUUACUGGCAAAUAAAAAGUUGGAAUUGGAAACCCCAAAUGAAGAGGCUGAGAGGCUUUUUCCUAAAUCUACCUUUGUCUCUGUUUUUCUUCUCUCCCUCCCCUAUUCCAUAUUUCCUGUCUGCAGCCCCUCCACAGUUCAAGAACCAGCCUGGUGUUUAUGAUACAUCUGGAUGAAACAUACUUAACCCUCAUUGCCUAGCCCUUACUGCUUUUCUGCCUUAGAACUAAUACAUAGUAUUAUUAGUUAGAUUCUAAGAUGGAGGGUAAGGGUUUUUCAUAAAUUGUUGUUACUUCUGCUUUUUAAAAAUUACUUUGGUACAUGGUCAAAUUUUUCUCCGUGUUAUUAUUUAUUUAAUUAUUGUUUAUUAAAUCUCAGUUUUGUUUUUAUGUCUUUGUUUUUUAAAUGUAUCUUAUCCAAUCUGUAACUUUUUUUUCAUUUACUGGAUUAUUUAAUCCAUGCACAUAAUUUCUUCCAUUUGUUUCUGAUUUUUUUAAACCCUUACCUCCCGUCUUGGAAUCAAUACUCUGUAUUGGUUCCAAAGCAGAAGGGUGGUAAGGGCUAGGCAAUGCGGGUCAAGUAACUUGCCCAAGGUUAUACAGCUGGGAAGUGUCUGAGGUCAGAUUUGAAUCUAGGACCUCCUGUCUCUAGGCCUGGCUCUCAAUCCACUGAGCUACCCAGCUGCCCUCUGUUUCUGGUUUUUUAAAAGAUAUGAUUUUUCUCUCUUCUGCUGUAAACAUAAUAUUGUGUCUCAGCAUUUAUUUUAAUUUUUUUUAAGUGACCCUAUUCCUAGAUAAGGAGUAAAUGACCUCAGCAAUCUAGUGUUUGAUAAACCCAAAGAUGCCAGCUUUUGGGAUAAGAACUGACUAUUUGACAGAAACUGCUGGGAAAAUUAGAAAACAGUAUGGCAAAAAUUAGGUUUAGAUAAUUAUCUCACACACUAUAUCAGUGAUGGUGAACUUUUAGAAGGGCCAGUGAUGAUGUUGAGAAAUGUCCUCAGGCACUGGUAGAGUUGGGGAGACUGCCUACAUCCCUCUGACUUUCUAGUAAGGAACUCCCCUGAGUUCUGUACUAGGGUGACAGGCAUGCCCGCAGAGAGGGCUCUGAGUGCCUCUUCUGGCAUGUAUGCCAUAGAUUUGCCGCCAUGACCCUAUACCAAGAUACAGGCAAAAUGGGUCCAUGAUUUAAACAUAAAAAGUGAUGUUAUAAGUAAAUUAGAGGGAUGUAGAAUAGUUUACCUGUCCAAUCUAUGGAAAAAAGAAGAAUUUAAUAUCAAACGAGAGAUAGAGAACAUUGUAAGAUAUAAAAUGAAAUUUUUUGAUUAUAUUAAAUUAAAAAGGUUUUAUAUAAACAAAACCAGUGUAAGGAAAAUUAGAAGGGAAGCAACAUACUCAGAAAAAAUAAAACAAAUUUCUCAGAUAAAGGUCUAAUUUCUCAAAUAUAUAAAGAACCAACUCAAAUUUAUAAGAAACUAAGUCAUUCCCCAAUUGAUAAAUGGUCAAAGGAUACAAAUAAGCAAUUUUCAGCUAAAGAAAUCAAAGUUAUCAAUAAUCCUAUUAAAAAUGUUCUAAAUCCCUCUUGAUUAGAGAAAUGCAAAUUAAAACAACUCUGAUAACAUCUUAUACCUAGUGAUUAGUCAAUAUGACAAUAAAAGAAAAUAAUAAAUGUUAGAGGGACUGCGGCAAAAUUGGAACACUAAUGCAUUGCUGGUGGAGUUGUGAAUUGAUCCAACCAUUCUGGAAGGCAAUUUGGAAUUAUACUCAGAAGGCAUUAAAAUAAUGCAUACCUUUUGAUCCAGCAAUACCACUACUAGGUCUAUAUACCAGAGAUAAAAAAAAAAACAAAUGGGAAAGGACCUGUUUUUUCAAAACUAUUUAAAGCUGCUCUUUUUUGUGAUGGCAAAGAAUUAGAAACUAAAGGGAUGUUCCUCAAUUGGGGAUGGCUGAACAAAUUGUGGUAUAUGAUGAUGAUAGAAUACUAUUGUGCUAUAAAGAAUGAUGAGCAGUAUGAUUUCAGAAAGAACUGGAAAGACCCAAUGUGAAUUGAUACAGAGUGAAAUAGCAGAACCAGGAGAAUGUUGUACAUAGUAACUAAAAUAUCAUGGGAUGAUCAAAUAUAAUAGGUUUUGCUUCUAAUAACAAUAUAAUGAUCCAGGACAGUUCUGAGGGACUUAUGAAAAAAAGAAUGCUAUUUAUAUCCAGAAAAAGAACUGUUGAAAUGCAUUUAUCACUUGUUUAUUUGGACAUAUGAUUUGGGGUUUUGAUUUUAAAUGAUUAUUUUCUUACACAAAUGAGAAAUAUGGAAAUAUGUUUUGAAUGAUAAUACAUGUAUAAUUCAGUAGAAUUGCUUGUCAACUCCAGGAAGGGGGAGGGAAGAGGGGAGGGAGAAAACAUGAAUCAUAUAAUUUUGAAAAACUUAUGUGUAAAUUUGUUAUUAUAAUAAAAUAAAGAUAAAAUUUAAUAAAAAUAAAAAGAAAUAAA
Molecule: long non-coding RNA, 9282 nt
Organism: Monodelphis domestica (gray short-tailed opossum)
Lineage: Eukaryota; Metazoa; Chordata; Mammalia; Didelphimorphia; Didelphidae
Source: RefSeq, a predicted model, not a curated record